CCUUUCCUUUUGACUCAUUACUUACGUACCACCCUUUAGCUUCACCGACAUUUUGAAAGGAAGGAAUGCGUGCACGUUUUGAACUCUACAGAGCAUUUUGUUUGCUAAUUUCUUUUGGCUUGGCUUAUUUUUGAACAUGACAAGUCGUCGUGGUGAAGCUAGUGCGGUAGAUGAUUGUAUAAUGUGUAGGAUUAUUGGAGGUGGUGGCUUUCUAGCAGCAUCAGCUUACGUUUUCCACCACGGCCGCAAGUUACAAUCUCAGCCUGGAAAGUUGCUGUGUUACGCAUUUUGCGGAGGACUAUGCUACACGGGAACAGCCAGGUUUCUUGGACUUCCUCCAUUUUCAAGGCCCAGGCAAAGCUAGCAGACGACAGUGAUCGUAUAUUCUGGCACGGAGCUCUGCAACACUGCCGGUCCCGACUUUGUCAAUGUCACAAAUCCUUGACACUAUUGAUGCAAAGUUCCAACCAGGGUCUCACUUCAUUUCAAAAGGGAAACGACGAUAAUGUGGCCAUAAACUGUUGCCCCCUAUAAGUUAAACCAGUUGAGGCACACGCCGAAGACUACAGCCCACAGUGCAAAUGUCACCACAAUGACGACAAAGAUUACAGUCUUUUGUGGAGACCACGUUUCAAGUUGCAGGCGAACGGGCGGAGGAGCAGCUGUGUUACACCGCAUUCCUCCUUCAGUGCAGGUGCACGGCUGCACGCCAGCGAUGCUGCUGCCAUAACCGGAACUUGUCUUGAGCAGUUCAAUCGCUCCUGCAGAAUCACCACCUCCGGACACUUGCUGCGGGGUCACGCCGUAGCUGCCAUUUUCUACCUCCAUCUGCAUGGGACGAAAUAUAGUACAGCAUUUUCACUGAGGGGAAUCUUGAAAUCAAACAUUUUGUGUUUAUGUAAGCAACUGGAACAGGUGAGGGACAGGGGUGGAUAUAGGUGUUUGGGCCUGGAUGUCUUUAGCCUCCCUCCCUCUCACCAUGUCUGUCGUCACCAUGUGUCCCAAUAGGCCUUAGGCACUGUAUGUAGCAUGCUGUCCUAGACCAGAUUCCCCCCCCCCCCCCACACACACACAGAUAUACCAACAUCAGGGUGCAAGUAGGGGCCAAUGAAGAAUCGUGAUCGAAAAUGCUUUGUCUAUUGUAAGCAAACUGAGUGCAAGAAAAAAGCCAACACAGAUGGAUGGGCUCAUAAGUUCCUUCGAUAAUUCAGUGAAAGCCUCAAGAGUGACUCUGUGUGCUACGAAUCUUCUUCUUUUUUUUUUUUUUUUUCAAGUGAACCAGAAAAACAGAGUUCUGUGGAUGAUGGCCAUCCAGUGUCAUCAUAAAUAUGAUUCAUUGCACCUGUAGCGGCCCAAUUACCGUAAUUUCAUACCCGUCGAUCCGUGAAAAAUACACAACGAGGGCACAAUCCGAUCUUGGUAGAACACUAGAACUGACCUCCUUUGUUGUACACCGCGCCGCGGAGUAUGGACCACAGGGUUUAUGGCCUUCUCUAUGGUCUCUCGCGUUGUAUUGCCUGUGACUUAUCUGCGAGUGCGGCUUAUCUGCCCGAAAAUUUUCAAAACGUUCCUAGAAACGGGUCCUGCGGCUUAUCUGCUUAUUAUCUGCAGUGCGGCUGAUACCCAUGAAAUUACAGUAUUUGUCUGGCAUGUUACGUAUAAGACAGCGAAGACAAAGGAUUCAUAUCGGCUGUGGAGUGCCUCUUGGACGCAAACAAUGGACAGUUAUAUUUACCCUCUAUGUUUCAUCUCUCACACUUCUGCUGAGAGAUAUCUGAGGUAAAAUCUGCUGCCAUAAUAUCUCAUAAGGAUUAACAUCUAGCUGCUCUGUUUCAUCCCAACCAAAAAUUAAACAUUAUCCUGUCCGUAGCCAGAGCAAGGCAAAUGUUAAGUGUCUGCAUUCACCCAGCUUCCUGGCAGUGAACCUGCCCACACAUUUCUUGCUACAGAUUCUAGAGGUGUGCAUCAUGUCCUUUCGUUGCAUCAACUUAAGUGUAUCCCCAUUCAUCUACGUAUCCCGGGGCUAUACCGUGGGACGUGCAAUCAGAGGGGAUAACAAGGUGCUAAAAAAAUCAGGAAUUUUUCGCUUUCUGUUGUGCUUGUUCUACCACUUCUUUGAGACAUGUAAGCACACUCAUAUACUUUAACUGCCUCAUGCGCACACGCAAAAUCAUGCUCCUGGGGUUUGGCAUCAGUGGUGGUGGAAUUCUAAUAAGUCUGAAGCUUUUAUAGCUCAAUUGCUCAGAAGUGAGAAUUAUAAUUAUUUCAGCUGUGGUGACUGAUGAGGGUUGAAAAUAAUAAUAAUAAUAAUAAUGUUCUCUGGAUGGCUCUCAACGUGAGGGAUGACAUAUUUGAAAUUCUCAGGGAGUACCAGAUGGGGUGGGAUGACAAGGGUGCAACCUGAGGCAGGGAAUUAAACAACAGACAAUUUCCUCAGACACAGCAACAAAAAUUUAAUAGCGAAACCGUCACUUAUAUACACAACCACCUCUGGAGAGGGGGCAUGGGCACAAGGGAGGGCUUGCUGACGCAAUGUUCACGUGUAGCUAUCUCUAAAGAUUCCCUGAGUAACCUCCGCCACAAAUUCCUUUCUUUACACAAAACUUCGGUUUCAGAGAAAAUCAGUUGACAAUUGUUGCAUUCACGCACGUGGGCUCACUGGAAAUGUGAUUUGUAUUUAGGUUAUGCUCUUGCGGACUAUGAUUCAAGCACCUCUUUGUUUGCCCCACAUAGCAUAGACUACAACUAAAAGGAAUACAGUAAGCCACUCCACUGGAACAAGGUACGAGGGGCUUUUUGUGCGAGACAGUACAGCAUUGUGAUAAAAAAGGCAUCAGUCUGGAUAGCUUGUAAGCAUUAGUGAACACUACCCUUAUGCCAUAGUCUUUCGCUACUGCCAAAAUAUUAUGAGACACUCAGUGGAAAUAGGGAAUAGAAACAGUAUGGCCGAAAGAAGGCUCUGUUGAUGAUUGAUCACUGGGGGGGUCUCAUCAUCUUGCACAAUUGAAUUAGAGCACGCUUGGCCAAAUUGUGUUGUUCGUACCCAGCCUGUAACAAACGGAAACAUUGUUGCUGCAGACUGUACGCAACGUGGUGGACACCACUUUUCAAAAUGGCAGAAAUGAGGAGGAAUCUUUCGGAAACCAGGGUGAGGUCCAAAAAUUUCAGUCUCUGCUCUGUGGGAUGUUCAAUAGAAAAAGUUAGUUCCGGGGCGAAAGAUGUGAUCGUACUCAAAGUUCGGCAGUCAAGGACGGGAGAUUGGUUAGGACAAUGAUAUCGUUAACAUACCGCCGUAUACACAAUCGUUCACAGGAAGUCUCGGUUAUCAAAUUUCUACCAGCACGAUGAAGGACACUGAGGUAGAUUUCAGCUAAAAUGGGUGCAACGGAAGCACCAAUACAGAUACCUUCGGCCUGAAUAUAUGGUUUUCCUUCCCAGGUUACAACAGUAGAUUGCAGGUAACAUUCCAAGAUGGUGAGAAAGUUCGCGGCAGACAUACCAGCAGUGUUUUGGAAAGCGGUGAUGUGGUCUACAAUCAGCUCAGAGGUGCGUUUGAGUAGGAGCGGUACAUUAAUUGAACAGUAUAAGUCCUUGAUGUCCAGAGAAAAGAGCGUAACCUUUGAACCGUGCAAAGGGUUGAUUCUUUGAAAGGACACUGACAGUGCUUGAUUUGGACAAUUUAAGUAAACCCGUGAAGGGCUUAAAGAGUGAAUCAAGAGCGGUUCGCACCUUGGACUGGAAAGAUGACAUCGGAAGAACACCAAACUUGCCUGAUUUGUCCCAUUGAAUUAGUUUGAGGUCGGCACUGUGGAGUUCACUCUGUACCUCCCGGAUUUUAUGUAAGCUACGACUAUUCCCAGUACAGAAGGCAUCUGACGGAAUCCUGGAGAUACAUCGUUCAGCGAAGACAUUUUUCUUGGUUGGAUCACUUAUUUUGGACGCGACAUUGGACAUGAUAGCAGCAAUAUCAAAUUUCGAAGGUGUCACAGGUAAACGAAACUUAGGAGUGUCAGAGACAUCCAAGGUUGUCUUAGAUAAAGGGACAUUAUUGGGGUUGACAAUCGAAACACUGGCGGGUCCGAAACACUGGCGGGGUAGGAUGCUCCCAUGGAAGGAACAUUUCAACGUUGUAGGGAGUUUUGUUUAUUGUUUUGAAAACAUUGUUUUUCUUAUAGAGUACAGAUGUUUUGCAUGUUUCAAUGUUGCACUUCUCGAAUGUACAUGGAGCGAUGAACGACACAAGCGAGAGAAAUCCGAGAUAGCAUAUUUGCGUUGUGCGGAAGUGACCAGUGAGAAAAAUAGGAGCCGGUCUUUACUGCAUAGAGAUUCUCCUACAGCAUUAUUCAACGGAACAGGAGUGGUUUGCCAGAAAAAUGUUUGCAAAGUGUGCUGAACAGAAAGCAUGAUGAUGCAGGCUUGUUUGUGAAGAUUAAUGAUAAGACUCGCACUGUAGUUUUUUUAACGGCACCACGUCUUCAUCAUUUAUGUCUGUGUCGUUUAUUUUAAUAAGCCACACUGCAAAAAUGACAUUACAAUUCGAAAGGUAUUUCUACUUCCUAAAGAACAACAAUUUGCUUUCAAAAAGGCGAAGGAAUGCAAAUACAAAGAUCAGGAGCAUUAUUUCUACGUCAUUGCAAUACGUAUUCUUUUUUCGCUAGAUUUGUUUCCCACACCCAAAUGUUGCAAAUGGGUGUACUCAUGCUGCUACACAUGAAUAGGCAAUACCACAGGACAAGAGGGAGAGACUAUCUCAAAGGCACCUGAGCUCAGCCAACUCACCGAGCCGUAAGAACGAGCUGCGCUUGCCGCACCACUGUUUCCCAAUAUCCGGCUUGUUUCGUCUCGAUUUGCCGACUCUGUCGAAGCCAUCGCUUCAAGUUUGUCAUUCUCCGGAGAUAACGCCAUAGAGUGUGGAGAGAGCUGAUCUCUUAUCUCAAGCAACUCUGAAUGUGUGCCUUAUCACAUCACUUUCUUUAGCUCACGCACUACUUCGCAAAGGCAUCUCUUCGGGAUUCAGUUCCUUUGCCAUUAACCUGAACAGCGGGGGACUAGUGUAGCCUCCAAUGGGAGUACAGGUCUGUUUGUGGUGAGGCAGUGGAAACUUUUGCAGACGUUGUCAACUUCGUGGCAUUUGGAAACCAAUCUCUCUCGCUGAAGAAUUA
This is a long non-coding RNA of Ornithodoros turicata, 5162 nucleotides long. RefSeq lists it as uncharacterized. The transcript has 4 exons. The record is from RefSeq and is a predicted model, not a curated record. NCBI's taxonomy places the organism in Eukaryota, Metazoa, Arthropoda, Arachnida, Ixodida, Argasidae.